This 413-nucleotide ribosomal RNA is filed under the name uncultured bacterium. RNAcentral describes it as "bacterial SSU rRNA". It matches the Rfam family "Bacterial small subunit ribosomal RNA", at positions 355 to 767 of the family's 1533-position model. The record is from RNAcentral.
UAAGGAAUAUUGCUCAAUGGGAGAAAUCCUGAAGCAGCAACGCCGCGUGGAGGAUGAAGGGUCUAUGACUUGUAAACUCCUGUAAAGAAGGAAAAAAUUCCCAUUAGAUGGGAGAUGAUGGUACUUCUGGAGUAAGCCCCGGCUAACUACGUGCCAGCAGCCGCGGUAAUACGUAGGGGGCAAGCGUUGUCCGGAUUUACUGGGUGUAAAGGGUGCUCAGGCGGAUUUGUAAGUCAGAGGUGAAAUCUUACAGCUUAACUGUGAAACUGCCUUUGAUACUGCAAGCCUAGAGUAUGGAAGAGAGUGAUGGAAUAUCUGGUGUAGCAGUGAAAUGCGUAGAUAUCAGAUAGAACACCAAUGACGAAGGCAGUCACUUGGUCCAUUACUGACGCUAAAGCACGAAAGCGUGGGUA